Molecule: ribosomal RNA, 580 nt
Filed under: Citrobacter freundii
Lineage: Bacteria; Pseudomonadati; Pseudomonadota; Gammaproteobacteria; Enterobacterales; Enterobacteriaceae
Description: partial 23S ribosomal RNA
Rfam family: Bacterial large subunit ribosomal RNA
Source: RNAcentral
AUGCACCGAAGCUGCGGCAGCGACACUAUGUGUUGUUGGGUAGGGGAGCGUUCUGUAAGCCGUUGAAGGUGGCCUGUGAGGGUUGCUGGAGGUAUCAGAAGUGCGAAUGCUGACAUAAGUAACGAUAAUGCGGGUGAAAAACCCGCACGCCGGAAGACCAAGGGUUCCUGUCCAACGUUAAUCGGGGCAGGGUGAGUCGACCCCUAAGGCGAGGCCGAAAGGCGUAGUCGAUGGGAAACAGGUUAAUAUUCCUGUACUUGGUGUUACUGCGAAGGGGGGACGGAGAAGGCUAUGUUAGCCGGUCGACGGUUGUCCCGGUUUAAGCAUGUAGGCGGAGGUUCCAGGUAAAUCCGGUACCUUUUUAACGCUGAGGUGUGAUGACGAGGCACUACGGUGCUGAAGUAACAAAUGCCCUGCUUCCAGGAAAAGCCUCUAAGCAUCAGGUAACACGAAAUCGUACCCCAAACCGACACAGGUGGUCAGGUAGAGAAUACCAAGGCGCUUGAGAGAACUCGGGUGAAGGAACUAGGCAAAAUGGUGCCGUAACUUCGGGAGAAGGCACGCUGAUAUGUAGGUGAAG